Molecule: ribosomal RNA, 254 nt
Filed under: uncultured bacterium
Lineage: Bacteria
Description: partial 16S ribosomal RNA
Rfam family: Bacterial small subunit ribosomal RNA
Source: RNAcentral
UACGGGGGGAGCAAGCGUUGUUCGGAUUUACUGGGCGUAAAGGGCGCGUAGGCGGUCAGCACAAGUCAGUUGUGAAAUCUCCGGGCUUAACUCGGAAAGGUCAACUGAUACUGUGCGACUAGAGUGCAGAAGGGGCAACUGGAAUUCUCGGUGUAGCGGUGAAAUGCGUAGAUAUCGAGAGGAACACCUGCGGCGAAGGCGGGUUGCUGGGCUGACACUGACGCUGAUGCGCGAAAACCAGGGGAGCGAACGGG